CGGAAGAUUCCACUGUGCAGCUGGAUCACAGCCCUCAGGGUCUCGGAAACCAGUUCUACCACUUCAACAGCCAGCACUGCCUUGAAUGUGAAGGACACAGUGAAAAAAGGACCUGGAGAAUGAAGGGGAUCGCUCUCAUGCCACCUUACCAGGUCCAUUCAGCACACCCUGGGAGUGUUUGCAAGCAUCAGCAGCAGAGGACGGAGAGGGCCUCUAUCUGUCACAACAGACUGUAAUCUCCAACGGGAAACAGGAACAAAAAGUAAACACAUAUUGCUUUACACAAGCAAAACUUGGCUCGGAGGUCUUCACAGAGGAGAUGGAAAUGGCCUCCUUAGCCUCAGUAGGGUGAGAAGAAGAAACAAAAGAAACACAGAUCAGGCAGCUGAUGUGUGAUCAUCCUCCUCCAGCAAAUAUCCUGCUCCUCCUCCUGCUCCUUGAGGUCACCCAACAAGUGCACUGGAGAGAAGACCUUCAGAUCUGAAAAGGUGCCACAGGUCCACAUCCUCCCCAUGGUAUCACCUCUAUAUACGACAUCUCUGGUUAUCGAUCAGAGCAUAAGCAAGG
This 567-nucleotide long non-coding RNA is filed under the name Chinchilla lanigera (long-tailed chinchilla). RNAcentral describes it as "lncRNA (ENSCLAG00000026499.1)". The record is from RNAcentral. Lineage: Eukaryota; Metazoa; Chordata; Mammalia; Rodentia; Chinchillidae.